GAUGAAGAACGUAGCGAAAUGCGAUAAGUAGUGUGAAUUGCAGAAUUCAGUGAAUCAUCGAAUCUUUGAACGCACAUUGCGCCCCCCGGCAUUCCGGGGAGCAUGCCUGUUCGAGCGUCUCCAGGACGAAUCCUCGCGCGAGUGAACGCGCGGUCGUGGCGGAGGUGGCGUGCCCGAGCAGGGCGGCCACCGCGCUGGAAUCCAUGGGCGGACGCCUGCCGCGUGGCCGAGCGUGAUAUGACGCAUUGGCGCUCGUGCGCGGCGAGGCUGCCAGCCCUGGCCCGUCUGUCGGGCGGGGUAGAUCACCACGUGGGAACUCCUCGAAUCAGGUAGGGAUACCCGCUGAACUUAAGCAUAUCAAUAAGCGGAGGA
Molecule: unclassified non-coding RNA, 372 nt
Filed under: soil metagenome
Description: partial contains 5.8S ribosomal RNA, internal transcribed spacer 2, and large subunit ribosomal RNA
Rfam family: 5.8S ribosomal RNA (bases 1-120)
Source: RNAcentral